AUAAAACACCAUGGGCUACAGCAAGUUUGGGAUCAAGAUUAUCAGUUGGAAUUGACUAGUUUCAGAUUCAGACAGAAUUUGUGGGUGUUGCCAGACUGUCAGAUUACAUCAGCGCAACUUCUCAUUAUCUGAGCCAGUUGGAAAAAAAGAUGAAAAGAAGUAGUGCUGCUCUCAUUCCUGGAUCAGGACUGGGUUUCAAAGACUCGACAAAUUUAUUGAUUCCCAGCAAACCAAGAAAUGUCAACAACAGAAGCACCUUGAUAUGCUUAGAAAAUAAAUAAAUGA
Long non-coding RNA from Eptesicus fuscus (big brown bat), 285 nucleotides. RefSeq lists it as uncharacterized. Lineage: Eukaryota; Metazoa; Chordata; Mammalia; Chiroptera; Vespertilionidae. The record is from RefSeq and is a predicted model, not a curated record. The transcript is spliced from 3 exons.